AUCUGGCCGGUAAAAGGCUAAGUUGGCUGCCCUGAAUACGUGCCUUCUUUCGUUUGGUUUCUUUGUCUAUGCCUAUUCCUUUUGUGUGUAGAGUGUUAAUGAGUGUAAAUACAAGUGCAUAAUUGCAAAUGUGUGAUGAUUUUUGUUUUCGUUUUACCUGCCGCGACGCGUCACUUUUCUGAUUUUGUUGAGCCGUGCCGGACGUAAUUUUGAAGGAAAGUGUUUCGCAGUGAGCUACAAAUAUAAAUAUGCUCUAUCUGAUGUUAUUAAAACCGAUGGGUGGACCAAAAAGAGCUAAUUACUAGGAACUGCUUGCGGGUUCAGAAAAAUCGGCUGGCGAAGCAAAAAUUUGACCACAAAAAAUAAAACAAUUAAUA
Drosophila mojavensis is the source of this 377-nucleotide long non-coding RNA. RefSeq lists it as uncharacterized. Lineage: Eukaryota; Metazoa; Arthropoda; Insecta; Diptera; Drosophilidae. The record is from RefSeq and is a predicted model, not a curated record. The transcript has 2 exons.